CCCUUUCCCUUUACUUCUUCUACAGAGGAGAGUCUAGGGUUUAACAAACAUGUCUUCUGCUUCUCAGUUCCAAGCCCACCGUGGCCAUGGCCUUCCCCAUUUUUCAGUGCAGUCCCCUGAGACCUGCCAUAUUCAAGAAAGGUUCAGGGACAGUAAUGGCUGCUCGAAGGAACAUGAUCCCCUCAAACAUUGUACAUGAAAGAUUUUCUCGUUAAAGGUACUGUUGUUGGGUUUAUGUAUUUGUAAUACAUAAGGGUUUGACAUAGGGAAUGAAGCCGAUUGGUCCGUGUAGCAUAGUUAGAAAUCUAAUAUUCACAAAUUGUUGUAAAGUGCUAUCACAUUGACAUAUUUUGGAUAAUAGAUUUGGUGCUGCAACUUCUGGCUAUAGGCUUAUCAUAAUAAUUUGAUAUCUAAAUCGCAAUUUGCAAGUGGAGGGAAAUAUCACGGAAGUCUAUUUUUAACUUGAUCUCCCUGCAUGAUAUGACAAGGCUCUCUUUAGAAGUUUACAUAGUUUCUUGGUUUUUGUUAUGGCAAGUAGUGACGAUUAGACUCCCCUUAGACCUGGCUGCCCCUGCCUUCUUCUUGGUUAUGAAUCCUGAUGACAUCUAUGCAUGAUCUAGUGGGAGUGAAAAAGAUCCCCUGAAGAAAUCUGCAACACCUAUUCUCUUGAACAAUGUGGGUCUCUCUGGGUAAUGAGGCUCGGUGCAGGUCCCGUAUCUCUGUCCAGUUUCGGGCUGUAAAAUGUGGCUAUGGACAGCCUCUCGUUCUCCCGAUUAACCGUUGCAUGAUCUUCGAUGCUGCGGUAAAUUCAAUCUGUCACAAUCUGUCAAAUGUGAGAGACAUCUAGCUAAUGUCAAUCUAAAUUAUGCAUUCAAAUUAACAGCCUAAUAACGUAACAUAUGAUAUUAUUUGACAAUAAAAGCAUUGUUCAGGGGUUUUAGAGGAACCCAAAUCUCAUCCUUGUUUUAAUCUG
Molecule: small RNA, 973 nt
Filed under: Malus domestica (apple)
Lineage: Eukaryota; Viridiplantae; Streptophyta; Magnoliopsida; Rosales; Rosaceae
Description: sRNA MD05G0246700
Source: RNAcentral